This 92-nucleotide non-coding RNA is filed under the name uncultured Agathobaculum sp. Its description in RNAcentral is "yjdF RNA". It matches the Rfam family "azaaromatic riboswitch aptamer (yjdF RNA)", at positions 5 to 92 of the family's 101-position model. Lineage: Bacteria; Bacillati; Bacillota; Clostridia; Eubacteriales; Butyricicoccaceae. The record is from RNAcentral.
GCAGAGAUAAAAACACGGCCCGGUUGGUAGUCCGGGCGCGGCGGGCUGAGCCUGCCGUCAGUAACCUGCCUCCUUGGUUGUCCGUUCUCUGU